RNAcentral lists this transfer RNA (73 nucleotides) under Stegodyphus mimosarum. It matches the Rfam family "tRNA". Rfam says of the family: Transfer RNA (tRNA) molecules are approximately 80 nucleotides in length. Their secondary structure includes four short double-helical elements and three loops (D, anti-codon, and T loops). The record is from Rfam by way of RNAcentral. Lineage: Eukaryota; Metazoa; Arthropoda; Arachnida; Araneae; Eresidae.
GCCUACGUGGUAUAGUGGUCAGCACGCUGAUCGCGAAUUCCAGAGGUUCGUGGUUCGAGUCCCGGCGAAGGCA